This 400-nucleotide ribosomal RNA is filed under the name uncultured bacterium. RNAcentral describes it as "bacterial SSU rRNA". It matches the Rfam family "Bacterial small subunit ribosomal RNA", at positions 355 to 753 of the family's 1533-position model. The record is from RNAcentral.
UAAAGAAUAUUGGUCAAUGGACGCAAGUCUGAACCAGCCAUGCCGCGUGAAGGAUGAAGGUCCUCUGGAUUGUAAACUUCUUUUAUCUGGGACGAAACCCCGAUUUCUAUCGGGACUGACGGUACCAGAGGAAUAAGCACCGGCUAACUCCGUGCCAGCAGCCGCGGUAAUACGGAGGGUGCAAGCGUUAUCCGGAUUCACUGGGUUUAAAGGGUGCGUAGGCGGGUUUGUAAGUCAGUGGUGAAAUCCCCGAGCUUAACUUGGGAACUGCCAUUGAUACUGCAAAUCUUGAAUUUUCUGGAGGUAAGCGGAAUAUGUCAUGUAGCGGUGAAAUGCUUAGAUAUGACAUAGAACACCCAUUGCGAAGGCAGCUUACUACGGGAACAUUGACGCUGAGGCA